Molecule: ribosomal RNA, 460 nt
Filed under: uncultured bacterium
Lineage: Bacteria
Description: partial 16S ribosomal RNA
Rfam family: Bacterial small subunit ribosomal RNA
Source: RNAcentral
CCUACGGGAGGCAGCAGUGAGGAAUAUUGGUCAAUGGGCGAGAGCCUGAACCAGCCAAGUCGCGUGAGGGAAGACGGUCCUAUGGAUUGUAAACCUCUUUUGUCGGGGAGCAAAAAGGCCUCGUGAGGCCACAAGUGAGAGUACCCGAAGAAAAAGCAUCGGCUAACUCCGUGCCAGCAGCCGCGGUAAUACGGAGGAUGCGAGCGUUAUCCGGAUUUAGUGGGUUUAAAGGGUGCGUAGGCGGAGCGUUAAGUCAGUGGUCAAAUUGAGGGGCUCAACCCCUUCCCGCCAUUGAAACUGGCGUUCUUGAGUGGAAGAGAAGUAUGUGGAAUGCGUGGUGUAGCGGUGAAAUGCAUAGAUAUCACGCAGAACCCCGAUUGCGAAGGCAGCAUGCCGGCUUCCGACUGACGCUGAAGCACGAAAGCGUGGGGAUCGAACAGGAUUAGAUACCCUAGUAGUC